This 549-nucleotide long non-coding RNA is filed under the name Mytilus galloprovincialis (Mediterranean mussel). The record is from RNAcentral. Lineage: Eukaryota; Metazoa; Mollusca; Bivalvia; Mytilida; Mytilidae.
GCAAGUUAACAAUUAAAACACGCAGACAAACUGACAUCUUUGUAAAUAUUUUUUUUUUGUUCUGCAUAAAAUUUAUUGUAUACAAGUCUACAAAAACGUUUUAAAAAGUUUAGUAAAUAGUUAUUUUUCCAUAAGUGUACAUGUGUAUGCUCGAAGUAUAUAUAGAAUCAGUACAUGAUACACAACAUGCGACAAAAAAGGGGGUAGUAAUAACAGGAAACUAAAUCAAACUAAGGCUUUGAUCGAUGUAAACUUCAAUAAAACUGGAAGUUACACAAGGGGAACAGGAAAUAAGAAUAUAUUGCAUCACUUACGACAACCUUUGAAUUGACCAGUGACUUUUUUAUUUAUUACUGACCAGCCACACCGAGAUAAUCCAACGAGUUUUUAAGGGUUCAUAUGAAGUGUGGACCUAAAUGUUCUUUAUCUUUAAAUAUAACGCUUAUUCUGUAAAAUCCUCAAUAAACAAUUUCCGGGAUCGGAACUCCGGGAUCGGGUAUUUUUAAACACGGGAUUUCGGGAUUAAUCUUUUCGGGAUCCGGGAAUUCU